Limanda limanda (common dab) is the source of this 325-nucleotide long non-coding RNA. RefSeq lists it as uncharacterized. The transcript has 3 exons. Lineage: Eukaryota; Metazoa; Chordata; Actinopteri; Pleuronectiformes; Pleuronectidae. The record is from RefSeq and is a predicted model, not a curated record.
CACGCCAUGUGUAUGUGAUUGUAUCUAGAACACGCUCUACCUCAACUGGCCCAUACCUGACAACAGCAAUGAGGGAAAUCCAUGCGUGGGAAAACAAUCAGAAACGGUCUACACAACCAUUGACUUCAACACCAAGAGGAAGACAAACAUGCAGCAACAGACGGACUCUUAUAGCAAUGAUGAAGGUGCGAUCUACAGCCUGUUGCAGUUUCCAGGGAGCAGCUCUUGAACCCUUCAUACGCUGACAAUGCCUGUGACAGGGAGAGGAAACCCUGUGUGAAAAUAUAAUAUAACAGAUUCUUGAGAGAUGAAGAAAUGUCACCAA